This 497-nucleotide ribosomal RNA is filed under the name uncultured bacterium. Its description in RNAcentral is "partial 16S ribosomal RNA". It matches the Rfam family "Bacterial small subunit ribosomal RNA", at positions 28 to 507 of the family's 1533-position model. The record is from RNAcentral.
GAUGAACGCUGGCGGCGUGCCUAAUACAUGCAAGUCGAGCGAACAGACGAGGAGCUUGCUCCUCUGACGUUAGCGGCGGACGGGUGAGUAACACGUGGAUAACCUACCUAUAAGACUGGGAUAACUUCGGGAAACCGGAGCUAAUACCGGAUAACAUGUUGAACCGCAUGGUUCAACAGUGAAAGACGGUUUUGCUGUCACUUAUAGAUGGAUCCGCGUCGCAUUAGCUAGUUGGUAAGGUAACGGCUUACCAAGGCAACGAUGCGUAGCCGACCUGAGAGGGUGAUCGGCCACACUGGAACUGAGACACGGUCCAGACUCCUACGGGAGGCAGCAGUAGGGAAUCUUCCGCAAUGGGCGAAAGCCUGACGGAGCAACGCCGCGUGAGUGAAGAAGGUCUUCGGAUCGUAAAACUCUGUUAUUAGGGAAGAACAAAUGUGUAAGUAACUAUGCACGUCUUGACGGUACCUAAUCAGAAAGCCACGGCUAACUACGUG